AGCAGGUGGAGAGAGCAGGAGUCAUCAACACUCUCACACAGCGCCUACAGGAGAGCCAGCAGCAGUGUGCCAAACUGCUACAGACCGGUUCAGUCCAGGAGAUGGGCCAGCUGCAAAUGAAACUACAACAGACUCAGUCAGCCAAGACCAUGAGUGACAACAUGAACAAAGCCUUGCAGGAGGAGUUGUCUGAGUUGAAGGAGCAGAUCUGUCUGUAUGAGUCUGUUGUGAAACACGGAGUCCUCUCUGCCGAGGUGACCGGAGGAGACAUCUGGGAGAACCAGCUGUCUGACUCCUAUGUAGACCUGGGGAUCAA
Oncorhynchus masou masou (cherry salmon) is the source of this 316-nucleotide long non-coding RNA. RefSeq lists it as uncharacterized. NCBI's taxonomy places the organism in Eukaryota, Metazoa, Chordata, Actinopteri, Salmoniformes, Salmonidae. The transcript is spliced from 3 exons. The record is from RefSeq and is a predicted model, not a curated record.